RNAcentral lists this transfer RNA (58 nucleotides) under Cylicodontophorus bicoronatus. RNAcentral's name for it is "tRNA-Ala". The record is from RNAcentral. Lineage: Eukaryota; Metazoa; Nematoda; Chromadorea; Rhabditida; Strongylidae.
GGGGCUAUAAUUUAAGUUUAAAAUAUUGUAACCUUGCAUUUACAAAAUUUUGGCUCUA